Long non-coding RNA from Dermacentor albipictus, 661 nucleotides. RefSeq lists it as uncharacterized. Lineage: Eukaryota; Metazoa; Arthropoda; Arachnida; Ixodida; Ixodidae. The record is from RefSeq and is a predicted model, not a curated record.
GGCUUUGUUCUGUCUUAAACAAUUACGGAACGGCUGCUCAAGAGUGCCCUUCUGACUUGGAUGACGAUGAAGUCACGCGUAGUCAGUUUUACAUCUUCUGGGAUCGUGCUGCUCAGUGCACCGUUUUGCUGAAAUAUAAUAUCAGGUGGCGCAACCCACCGCCCUGUUUCAUAGGGGACGCUCAUAACAUCCAUCCAUCCAGAAUAUCCUUAUAAAAGAAAGGUCUGCAAAUGACAGUGUUGCUGUGGAUUGUAGUUGGAAGCCUCUCCCUCGUUUGGGCAUCGAACGCAACGACGGAAGUGCAAAGGAUGACAGCAACUCGACUACCAACGGGGGGCAGAGCCAAGGAAGACGCUUGGAAACCAUGCAGUAAUUACUCACAGCCGUGCAUAAGCGACAAGGACUGCUGCGACGAGAGGACGUGCUACGAGUACAAGUGCUCCUUCCGGAGGCUGGGGUGGACAAAGAAGGCGGGGUAACCACCGCGGCCAACUAGCAGGAGGGGGCUCCCGCUGCUCCGUAAACAAUUGGGGAAGGCCUGCCCAGUUCACCGGAUGUGGCUUGCAAUCUAAUCGACGCCGUGCACCGCUGCUCUUUCUUCCUGCCCGACAGUUACAUGCUACAGCGUGUGUGUCUGAAUAAAACAUUCCGAAGUACCGGC